CACUACAUUUGACGUUAGGUCACUUCCCUCCCAAAAAUUGUAUCCAUUAAAUGAAAAAUAAAGAAAAACUUAAGUUUUGUUCAAUACAUUAGACUAUCAAUUUUACUACGGUAAUUAAGUUAUUUUUCUUUAUUUUUAUAGAUUUAAGAUUAUUGGAGCUUGAUUUAGCUAGCUCAUGUAUCAAUUUUUUCAAUUGUUAAUUUUUUAACAAGUUACCAUUAUAGAGAAAUUGAUGAUUUGGGCUUGAAUUUGAUAGUUAAUAAUCUUAGAUCAUGAUAAAGACUAAA
This 287-nucleotide long non-coding RNA is filed under the name Gossypium barbadense (sea-island cotton). RNAcentral's name for it is "long non-coding RNA (GBAR_LNC010609)". Lineage: Eukaryota; Viridiplantae; Streptophyta; Magnoliopsida; Malvales; Malvaceae. The record is from RNAcentral.